Molecule: ribosomal RNA, 503 nt
Filed under: uncultured bacterium
Lineage: Bacteria
Description: partial 16S ribosomal RNA
Rfam family: Bacterial small subunit ribosomal RNA
Source: RNAcentral
AUUGAACGCUGGCGGCAGGCUUAACACAUGCAAGUCGAGCGGGGUGAUGGUGCUUGCACUAUCACUUAGCGGCGGACGGGUGAGUAAUGCUUAGGAAUCUGCCUAUUAGUGGGGGACAACAUCUCGAAAGGGAUGCUAAUACCGCAUACGUCCUACGGGAGAAAGCAGGGGAUCACUUGUGACCUUGCGCUAAUAGAUGAGCCUAAGUCGGAUUAGCUAGUUGGUGGGGUAAAGGCCUACCAAGGCGACGAUCUGUAGCGGGUCUGAGAGGAUGAACCGCCACACGGGGACUGAGACACGGCCCGGAGUCCUACGGGAGGCAGCAGUGGGGAAUAUUGGACAAUGGGGGGAACCCUGAUCCAGCCAUGCCGCGUGUGUGAAGAAGGCCUUAUGGUUGUAAAGCACUUUAAGCGAGGAGGAGGCUCUUUUGGUUAAUACCCAAGAUGAGUGGACGUUACUCGCAGAAUAAGCACCGGCUAACUCCGUGCCAGCCGCCGCCGUAA